GUAGGAUCCUGGUGGAGAUCUAGUGAUGUAUAAUCAUUCAUGGUGAAGUAAUAGAUGUGUUCUUGUUCUUAACGGUCUAAGUAUCUCCUUCUAUGGUUUUAUGCUCUUUUGGGUAUGCUUGCUUUUCAAUCUAUGAUUGAUGAUAAUUUGCUUAGGAUGUUUAUGUGGUCGUGGUGACCAGAUUUGCAUGCCUGAUCUACCGAUGAGUAUGACAUGUUCUUAUGAUCGUUCCCUUAGAUUUCCUAUGCUGAUAGAGACAAUCGUGAUGAGGUCUUUCUUGUGUAAGAUGGGGGGUUUUGGAAGCCAGACCGGAGGUGUAGAUUUAAAGAUGUUUUUAGCUAAGAUCAUAUAUAUGUUACUUUCCUAUCCAUGCUCAGAAUUACAAUAUAUGCAUAGUCUAGGUUGCUCUAGACUGGUUACCACUGGUCUAUCUGUUAUUUGUCUGUGUAUGCUAGAAUAGAUCUUAAUUAUUCAUCAAUAAAAGACUCAUACUAACAAUGCUAGUUGAAAUAGAUCUUGCAUUAUAAGUUCCACGGAUUGAUAAACCUUGGGGGAGUACUUUGAGGGAAGAGCUACAAAUGAUCCAUACACUUGCGGUUUACAAAUUAGCACGCUAAAUGCCGUC
Molecule: long non-coding RNA, 625 nt
Filed under: Setaria viridis
Lineage: Eukaryota; Viridiplantae; Streptophyta; Magnoliopsida; Poales; Poaceae
Description: long non-coding RNA (SVIR_LNC005596)
Source: RNAcentral